AGUAACACGUGGAUAACCUACCUAUAAGACUGGGAUAACUUCGGGAAACCGGAGCUAAUACCGGAUAAUAUUUUGAACCGCAUGGUUCAAAAGUGAAAGACGGUCUUGCUGUCACUUAUAGAUGUAUCCGCGCUGCAUUAGCUAGUUGGUAAGGUAACGGCUUACCAAGGCAACGAUGCAUAGCCGACCUGAGAGGGUGAUCGGCCACACUGGAACUGAGACACGGUCCAG
This 231-nucleotide ribosomal RNA is filed under the name uncultured Staphylococcus sp. RNAcentral describes it as "partial 16S ribosomal RNA". It matches the Rfam family "Bacterial small subunit ribosomal RNA", at positions 109 to 334 of the family's 1533-position model. The record is from RNAcentral. Lineage: Bacteria; Bacillati; Bacillota; Bacilli; Caryophanales; Staphylococcaceae.